AUACUUACCUGGCAUGGGAGAUACCAUGAUCACGAAGGUGGGUUUCCCAAGGCAAGGUUUAUCCGUUGCCCUCCAGAUGUGCUGACCCCUGCGAUUUCCCCAAAUGUGGGAAACUCGACUGCAUAAUUUGUGUUAAAAAAAUUAAUUUUUA
Molecule: small nuclear RNA, 151 nt
Organism: Callithrix jacchus (white-tufted-ear marmoset)
Lineage: Eukaryota; Metazoa; Chordata; Mammalia; Primates; Cebidae
Gene: U1
Rfam family: U1 spliceosomal RNA
About the family: U1 is a small nuclear RNA (snRNA) component of the spliceosome (involved in pre-mRNA splicing).
Source: Ensembl